UAAAAUAUUUAAUUUGUACAUAGUUUAGUGAACAAGUCAGAUGUUGUUUCUUGUAUGUCUUCUGCUUCUUCCAUGUCUUCCGCCUUUUCCGUCUUCUUCUGUAAAACCUCUAUGGGACUUGUAGCUUUCUUCCUCACUAUUUCACCACCAGAUUCUCCCGUUUUCUCCUGCUUUUGUAAAACCGCAAUGGAAUAUUUGUAGCUUUCACUACUAGAAAUUGGGCCUAUGGGAACAGUUUGUUGGCAACGGUUGAUAUAACUGUUGCUAUAGAUGGUCUAUUACAACAUUUAUAAUCGUUGCAUAGGGUAUGGAUCCUGUUGAGACACUUUUGUAAGUAAACCGUUGUAGUAGUGUUAGAAUCGUUCCAUUAGUCUUUUCUAUAGCCACGGUUUUCAUAACCAUCACAAUAGGUAUAUCUAUGGAAACGGUUAUCUUAAAAUAAAAUCUAUUGGGACGGUUCAGAUUCCCUCCUUAUUUUCCCUUUCUAUUUUUCUCAAAUCCCUAACCUUUUGAGUGGAGUUUUAUUUUAGUUGCUAAUAUUUCUAAGCCUGAUGAGAGACAAAGUAGUACUCUAAGACCUUUUGUUGCCAAGUUCAAAUCGAUAGUUGAAUAAAAAAUAUAGCAUCUUGAUAUAACACUCCUAAAGAAGACUCCAUCGUUUUGAAGCGAUAAUAUGGAGGUCUAUUCUGCCUAUGGAGGUCGCGAAUCUGGACUUCUAAAGAACAUAGCUUUUUCUUCUAUAGCUAGGUCCCAUUUCGCUGGUAAAGGUCGCCGAUCUGGGCUGCUAAAAGAACUCAUUGUUUUCUUGCACAACUAAGUCUAUUAUCGAGCAAAGCCAACCCCAUUUCACAUUUAGUUCUUUUCGGUGUACAACAUCAUUGGCAAUAGUGGAAUCAAAUGCUAUCGAAUUUGUGCUAAGGCUUUUUGGUAGCAAACGGGCACAACCAGUAGUGCAAGAAUCUGCUGCGAAGGGCAUUUUACAGAGGUUACCUGCUGGACAUUUGCAUAGUUUUAGAUUCAAGAUUAUCUCGAAGGUGCAACGAUUGCGGAUGAAAGCAGUGAAGAAGACCUUACUUGAAAGUACUAUUAUCGUGUUCAAUAUUUUAUUUUAUAACUUUUUGUAUGCAAACUCAUCUAUUUUGACUUUUGAAUUGUUGAUCAAACAAUGUAUUCAUAUUUUGUUUUUGUAUAUGGAUAAAGCUAGUUGAAUAUUUUUAUUUUA
Nicotiana tabacum (common tobacco) is the source of this 1222-nucleotide long non-coding RNA. RefSeq lists it as uncharacterized. The record is from RefSeq and is a predicted model, not a curated record. Lineage: Eukaryota; Viridiplantae; Streptophyta; Magnoliopsida; Solanales; Solanaceae.